RNAcentral lists this ribosomal RNA (449 nucleotides) under uncultured bacterium. RNAcentral describes it as "bacterial SSU rRNA". It matches the Rfam family "Bacterial small subunit ribosomal RNA", at positions 355 to 796 of the family's 1533-position model. The record is from RNAcentral.
UCGAGGAUCUUUCGCAAUGGGCGAAAGCCUGACGGAGCGACGCUGUGUGAGUGAUGAAGGCCUUCGGGUCGUAAAACUCUUUUGCCUGUGAACAAGAAAGAUUUGUGAAUAACAAGUCAAUUUGAGAGUAGCAGGAGAAAAAGCACCGGCUAACUACGUGCCAGCAGCUGCGGUAAUACGUAGGGUGCAAGCAUUAAUCGGAAUUAUUGGGCGUAAAGGGCGCGUAGGCGGAUGGAUAAGUCAGAUGUGAAAUACCAAAGCUCAACUUUGGUGCUGCAUUUGAAACUGUCUUUCUUGAGGAUUGACGGAGAAAGGGGAAUUCCACGUGUAGCGGUGAAAUGCGUAGAUACGUGGAGGAACACCGGUGGCGAAAGCGCCUUUCUAGUUUUUACCUGACGCUGAGGCGCGAGAGCAAGGGGAGCAAACAGGAUUAGAUACCCCCGUAGUCC